Molecule: ribosomal RNA, 484 nt
Filed under: uncultured bacterium
Lineage: Bacteria
Description: partial 16S ribosomal RNA
Rfam family: Bacterial small subunit ribosomal RNA
Source: RNAcentral
AGUGAACGCUGGCGGCGUGCUUAACACAUGCAAGUCGAACGAGAACGGAUUAUAGCUUGCUAUAAUUGUCAGCUGAGUGGCGCACGGGUGAGUAAUGUAUAGGUAAUAUGCCUCUUACUAAGGGAUAACAAAUGGAAACGUUUGCUAAUACCUUAUACUCCUUAUUAACAGAAGUUAAGAAGGGAAAGAUUUAUUGGUAAGAGAUUAGCCUGUAUUGUAUCAGUUAGUUGGUGGGGUAAUGGCUUACCAAGACUAUGACACAUAACUGGUUUGAGAGGAUGAUCAGUCACACUGGAACUGAGACACGGUCCAGACUCCUACGGGAGGCAGCAGUGGGGAAUAUUGCACAAUGGACGAAAGUCUGAUGCAGCAACGCCGCGUGGAGGAUGACACAUUUCGGUGCGUAAACUCCUUUUAUAUGAGAAGAUAAUGACGGUAUUAUAUGAAUAAGCACCGGCUAACUCCGUGCCAGCCGCCGCGGUAA